CCUACGGGAGGCAGCAGUGGGGAAUCUUGCACAAUGGGCGAAAGCCUGAUGCAGCAACGCCGCGUGCGGGAAGAAGGCCCUCGGGUUGUAAACCGCUUUCAGAAGGAACGAAACUGACGGUACUUUCAGAAGAAGGUGCGGCCAACUACGUGCCAGCAGCCGCGGUGACACGUAGGCACCAAGCGUUGUCCGGAUUUAUUGGGCGUAAAGAGCUCGUAGGCGGUUCAGUAAGUCGGGUGUGAAAACUUUGGGCUUAACCCAAAGCGUGCAUCCGAUACUGCUGUGACUUGAGUACGGUAGGGGAGCGGGGAAUUCCUAGUGUAGCGGUGAAAUGCGCAGAUAUUAGGAGGAACACCGGUGGCGAAGGCGCCGCUCUGGGCCGAAACUGACGCUGAGGAGCGAAAGCAUGGGUAGCAAACAGGAUUAGAUACCCUGGUAGUCCAUGCGUAACGUAGGCACUAGUGUGGUCGACCAACGAANACGCGCGUCGCUACGCAUAGUAGCCCGCCGUCGGGAGGUACGGCCGCGAACGGUAAACGUACGAAGAAGUAGACGGCGUGAGACGUGCCGAACGGACGACGACGAGGGAGAGG
Molecule: ribosomal RNA, 593 nt
Filed under: uncultured bacterium
Lineage: Bacteria
Description: bacterial SSU rRNA
Rfam family: Bacterial small subunit ribosomal RNA (bases 1-509)
Source: RNAcentral